This 286-nucleotide ribosomal RNA is filed under the name uncultured bacterium. RNAcentral's name for it is "partial 16S ribosomal RNA". It matches the Rfam family "Bacterial small subunit ribosomal RNA", at positions 200 to 504 of the family's 1533-position model. The record is from RNAcentral.
GGGAAAAGAGCAAUCUGCUAAUAGAUGGGCUUGCGUCUGAUUAGCUAGUUGGUGUGGUAAAGGCAUACCAAGGCAACGAUCGGUAGCCGGACUGAGAGGUUGAUCGGCCACAUUGGGACUGAGACACGGCCCAGACUCCUACGGGAGGCAGCAGUGAGGGAUAUUCGGCAAUGGGGGAAACCCUGACCGAGCAACGCCGCGUGAGGGAAGACGGUUUUCGGAUUGUAAACCUCUGUCCUCUGUGAAGAUAGUGACGGUAGCAGAGGAGGAAGCUCCGGCUAACUAC